Callithrix jacchus (white-tufted-ear marmoset) is the source of this 10796-nucleotide long non-coding RNA. RefSeq lists it as uncharacterized. The record is from RefSeq and is a predicted model, not a curated record. NCBI's taxonomy places the organism in Eukaryota, Metazoa, Chordata, Mammalia, Primates, Cebidae.
CGGAGGUCUCUGGGGCUGCGCGCCAGCUGCGCGUCCCUGCGGAGUUCCCGUGCGCCACGAGGCUCGAUGGCGCGCGCCUCCCGACCCGUCCAGCCCGGGCGCGGCGACACCUUUCUUUGCCACCUGGAACCAACACCUUGGUUCCCUUUUGAGGGAUCAGAACUUGUUUAGUUGGAAUACGGCACAAUUUUGCAUUUUUCUGCCGUCUCGAUUCCGACUUCAGAAUUCUGGUGUCCAGCCCGGCAAUCAUCUUCCGGUGCCAGCGCGGCAAGUCGACGCCUGUGUUAAAGCAAACCAAGUAUGGCCUGAGAAGGACUCCGUAUACUAUGUUUGGAUCCUAAUGGAUGAACUGCAACCUCACUUAAGAUGAUGUCAGAAGCGGAGUCCAAAGGGAGAGCUUCCAGCGACCCUCAGGAGUGCUGAGUGACCACGCCAGGUUCACUUGUGUCCGCUGACCUCUCGGAGUGGCUGGGGACUGUGGGUAAGUUCCGUCUCGGAUUUCAGAGCUCCACGGACUCGUGUUUCGAGCUCUCCGAGUUUCAUUGAGCACAUUUCCAUCCAAACCGGGUUUGGAAGUCAGGACAGAAACUGGACUGGUUCUGGGAAUGGAUUUGACCUGGUAACGAGGUGGCUUGGAUCCAGUUAGAGGCCUCUUACAUCUGACUGGGCCAGAAAGAAACUGGUAGCAAAUGGUAACAUUGCAGGGGAUGUGAAUUUCGGCUUUUAAAAAUUAACGGGGACGUCUGUGUUGCACCCGUUGUUCCAUUGUUCUUGUGCACUUAGGCAGUAAAAAAAAAGUACUGAGUUAAUCAAGGGAACCUGAGAGUAACCCCGAUAUUUUAGGCAAAAAUGGGAUCCUUCAUUUCUCAAAACCUGAGUUCCUUCUAACCUAUACAUUAGUCACGGGAAGGAACCAAGGGUUACAGAAAUGGCAAAAUCCAGCCGGGCGCAGUGGCUCAGGCCUGUAAUCUGAGGAUUCUGGGAGCUGAGGCCGGAUCACCUGAGCCCAGGAGUUUAAGACCAAGUUGGCCAACAUGGUGAAACUCUGUCUCUGCUAAAAAUUCAAGAAUUAGUGGGGCAUGGUAGCGUGUGCCUGUAGUUUCAGGUACUUGGGAGACUGAGGCACGAGAAUUGCUUGAACCCAGGAGGCAGAGGUUGCAGUGAGUGGAUAUCACAUCACCGUAGUCCAGCCUGGGUGACAGAGCAAGACUCUGUCUCAAAAAGUAAAAAUAAAAAUGGCUGGGCUUAGUGGCUCAUGCAUGUAAUCCCAGCACUUUGGGAGGCUGAGGGAUCACCUGAGGUCAGGAGUUCGAGACCCACCUGGCCAACAUGGUGAAACACAGCCUCUACUAAAAACACAAAAAAGUAGCCAGGCAUGGUGGCGCACACCUGUAAUCCCAGCUACUUGGGAGGCUGAGGCAUGAGAAUGGCCUGAACCUGGGAGGCGGAGUUUGCAGUGAGGGGAGAUUGCGCCAUUGCUCUCCAGCCUGGGUAACAAGAGCAAAACAUUGUCUCAAAAAAACAAAGUAAUGAAUAAAAUAGAAAUGAAGGAUCCCCAGAGUUAAAUCUGUUAAUCUUACGGCGUAGUUACUCUCCCGAUACCAGGGAUUGCAGCACCAACUGUCGGACUUUGGAUGAGUAAUGGGGUCCAUUUUAACCUGAGUGAAGGACGGGAUUGGGUUAGAGGCCCUCCAUCAGUCCAGUCCCCCUUGGUUAACAGUGGGUUAAAGAUAACAGGGCACAACUGGAGGUAAGUUUGAGCCUUGCAAGUCCGACAGUGGGUGCUAAGCAGAGAGGCCAGUAUCUGUGUUUUGUCACGUAUGCUGCUUUGGCGCCAGAAUGAAAAAUGUUAAUUGGCUUACCCCAUGCAACGCGUUGGGCUUCACGUUGCAAAACUGAGAGGCUUUUGCCUGAGGCUCCACCAAACAACAAAAAAAUUCCUUUAUGAUGCAGCGGGCUUGGCCCGCAGGGCUCUUAUAUGGCAGCUGGGGUCUCUAGGAGCACUCGGGCAAAGGGAACCCAGAAACCUGGCAUUGCUGACGAAAGGUAAAGGAUUUCUCAUCAGUCAGACUCUGGCCUUUCUGUCUCUGUGCAAACUGGUUAAAUGAAUGGUAAAAAUCACUGUUUAUCUCAUGUUUUGAUUCAUACAAAAAGGAAUUCUGAGACUGGUCUUAAGCUGUAAUUCAUCUGGUGUGCUUUGUGUGUCUUUCUGUAUUCUGUCACAAAGAGGGUACCUUGAGGUAAAAUGCGUGCCUAGCACCCCAUGAGCCUGCUGUUCGAGAUGACCCAGCAGAGUGGUCAAUCCUGGCCUUGGAAGCUUAACCUCCUGUGGCCAUGCUUUCUCUUUGCACAAUGGUGGCUCAGGUUCAGGGUUCAAUUCCUGCUUUACUCAAUGAGUACUUUCUGGAGUGACCUGUACCCUGUCACUUCCCUCUCCAUAUGGAACACAGAAAUAUUGGCUAUUUGGCCUAGCUGUUUUAAAAGUGGAUAUUUGGCUGGGCCUCAUGGCUCAUGCCUGCAAUGCAUGUGGGGAGGCUGAGGCAGGCAGGUCACUUGAGGUCAGGAAUUUGAGACAAGCCUGGGCAACAUGGUAAAACUCUUUAAAAAAAUAAAUUGCCUGGGCAUGUUGGCACAUGCCUGGAAUCCCAGCUACUCGGGAAGCUGAGGUGGGAAAAUCGCUUGAAAAAAAAAAUUGCCUGGGCAUGUUGGCGCAUGCCUGGAAUCCCAGCUACUCAGGAAGCUGAGGCGGGAAAAUUGCUUAGGCGGGAAAAUUGCUUAGGCGGGAAAAUAGCUUGAAAAAAAAAUUGCCUGGACAUGUUGGCGCAUGCCUGGAAUCCCAGCUACUCGGGAAGCUGAGGCGGGAAAAUCGCUUGAAAAAAAAUUGCCUGGACAUGUUGGUGCAUGCCUGGAAUCCCAGCUACUCGGGAAGCUGAGGCGGGAAAAUCGCUUGAAAAACAAAUUGCCUGGGCAUGUUGGCGCACGCCUGGAAUCCCAGCUACUUGGGAAGCUGAGGCGGGAAAAUCGCUUGAGCCUGGGAGGGCAAAGGUGCAGUGAGCCAAGAUGGUGCCACUGCACUCUAGCCCAGGCAACAAAACAAGACUCCAUUUCAAAAAAAAAUUAAAAAAUAAAAUAAAAGUAUAUAUUCAAAUUCUAAUAGCCUGGGACUCCUUGGGUAAAACAGGAGGCAUGUGAGAUGCCCUUUUGGAAAAACAAAACAAAACAAAAAAACCUGUUUUCCUCAGGAACCUCAGGAAUAGGAAAUGAAUAGAUUCACUGUCAAAAUCUACUUUUUGGGAUCCAAGAUCUGGUAAAAGAUGGGAUCCUUAAUUAUUGGAGAUCUGUUUUUUUGUUGUUUUGUUUUGGAGAUGGAGUUUCACUCUUGUUGCCCGGGCUGGAGUACAAUGGUGUGAUCUCCGCUCACCAAAACCUCCACCUCCCAGGUUGAAGCACUUCUCCUGCCUCAGCCUCCUAAGUAGCUGGGAUUACAAGCAUGUGCCACAACACCUGGCUAAUUUUGUAUUUUUAGUAGAGACUUUUUUUUACCAUGUUGGCCCGGUGGGUCUCAAACUCCUGACCUCAGGUGAUCUGGUGAUCUGCCCACCUUGGCCUCCCAAAGUGCUGGGAUUACAGGCAUGAGCCACAGUGCCUUUUUUUUUUUUUUAAAAGACAAGAGUUUCACUCUGUCAUCCAGGCUGCAGUAGUGCAAUGGCAUGAUCUCAGCUCACUGCAACCUCUACCUCCCAGGUUUAAGUGAUUCUCCUGCCUUAGCCUCCUGAGUAGCUGGGAGUACAGGGGUGCACCUUCACACCCAGCUAAUUUUGUAUUUUUAGUAGAGAUGGAGUUUCAACAUGUUGGCCAGGCUGGUCUGGAACUGCUGGCCUUGUGAUCUGGCCACCUUAGCCUCCCAAAGUGCUGGGAUUACAGAUGUGAGCCACAACGCCCAGCUUUGCCUUUCUGCUGUGCGCACUUAUUAUAUUGGGCGCUAGAAGCUAUAUGCUUUCCUCGUCCUCUUUUUUUGAAGGACUCCACCCUAAAGCCAGCAAGUUCAAACAAAUAAAUACUUCAAUCAAAUAUUUUGAAAGAAAAACUGCCUUUUAGUUUACAUAUCUGUGGGAAAUGAAAAGUUUUAGAGAUUGCUGGCAAAAAAGAGGACAUUUAGUCUAAACUGGGCAGGUCAGGUAUUAGGUUUAUUAGAUGCUUUAAGGUCAUCCACUGCUUCUUAGACAUUUGAAAAUUGUUCAGUUUACCUAUUUUGGAGCAUUCGAUUCUAUAUAAGUCCUGGGAACACGUGGAAUUAGCCAUGCACUCUAUUUAUGCAUUAAAGGUGAUAAAGAAAUGAGAUUUUUUAAAUUGAGAAAAAACCACAGGUGCUUGUGCUCCACCUACCCAGUGCAGCAGGUAAGAUGUGUUGGCAAUGCGCCUUCAGUGGAGUGAAGAGGCCACAGCAGGAUCCCACCUCGGCUGGAUGGCACACUGGCCUUCACCUUCAAUGCGCCAUGGCAGCUUUCCCGUGAGUCUCUGACUUGUGCACAUGCUAGACUCCUUGGUCUACAAGAAAGCAUCUUGUACGGUAAAUUCUUGUCUUAAAGUUAAAUAACUGGUUGGUUCAAAAGAGGGGAUGUUUAGGACAAGUCAGGAGGUCAAGCAUGUUGUAGAUGGUCUGGGUAAGUUGCGAAAGUAUUCGUGAAAGGAAAUUUAAGCACCAGAAGUAAAAGUUGCUAAGAGUUACCAUUAUUACAUGCGAUUAAAACUACUGAAAAAUAGUUUCACAUGCAAAGUGUAUGAGAAAUUGAAAUGCGUUUUUGGUAAAAGAUUUUAAGAAGGUAUGAGAAUCUAAACUUUUGCCUAGUUUAGAGGGUUAUGUGAUUGUUUUAAAUUAGAUAAGAAUAAGCUGAUGGUUUGAACAAGUUGUGGAAGGUUUGUAAAAAUUCAUCUUGUAAAAAAAAAUUCUGUGUGCAAACAUAUUGACUAAAUUCAAGGGAGUGUUUUUUUUAGUUUUCCGUAAAUUAAACAUCAAAAUAAAAUGACAAACAGGUUUCUUAAGGCACUGAUCUGUUCUUUAACAAAAUUUGUCCUUUUUCUAGACAGAGUCUUGCUCUGUCACCCAUGCUGGAGUGCAGUGAUGCAAUCUUGGCUUGCUGCAACCUCUGCCUCCUGAGUUCAAGUGAUUCUCAUGUCUUGGCCUCCCAAGUAGCUGGGACUUACAGGCACAUGCCACCACAGCCGGGUAAUUUUUGUAUUUUCUUUUUUAGUAGAGGUGGGGUUUCACUACAUUGGCCAGGCUGGUCUCGAACACCUGACCUCAAGUGAUCCACUUGCCUCAGCCUCCCAAAGUGCUGGGAUUACAAACCGAGCCACCGUGACCAGCCUCAGUUGUCAUUUUUAAUGGAUAUUUUCUGGUUGUGAGAAAGCUCUUCCAUUCAAGAGGGCUAAUAUUACAACAGUAUCUUAUUAUGUCUAAUAUGUCACAGUAUAUUUUCACCUGGUAAAGAAAGCUUUUUUUUUUUUGGAGACAGAGUCUCGCUCUGUUGCCCAUGCUGGAGUGCAGUGGCACAGUCUUGGCUCACUGCAACUUCUGCCUCUUGGGUUCAGGUGAUUCUCCCACCUUAGCCUCCUGACUAGCUGGAAUUACAGGUGCAUGCCACCUCACCCGGCUAAUUGAGUAGAGAUGGGGUUUCACAGUGUUGCCCAGGUUGGUCUCAAACUCCUGACUUCAUGAUCCACCUGUCUCAGCCUCCCAACAUGCUGGGAUUACAGGUGUGAGCCACCGCACCUGGCCAAGCUUCUUUGAGAUUUUCGUUCUUGUUGCCCAAGUUGGAGUACAGUGGUGUGAUCUUCACUCACUGCAACCUCCACCUUCUGGGUUUAAGGAAAAAAAAGAAAUACAUUCCUCAUAAUAGGCUCUAUAGAACAUUCUACUGUAAAGGCUACGGUUAUAAAACAGACUUUAAAUUCUCUUUUGAAACUUAUGCUAAAUAAUAGAAUUGGCUGAACAGAAAAGUAUCUGUGCAGCUGAUGGGUCUUAACGGGCUAUGGGAAAAACAUCAGGUAUUACAGAUAGAGAUUCACUUGUGGGGAUUAACGAAAAGACCGCUUAGUUAAGCAAGUAGACUCCUCAUGCAGCUCAUCCUUUCAUCUUUUUCAUUUUGGUUGUUUGGUUUAUGGGGGCCCUGGGGAGCAGCAUACUCUAAAUUCUUGGUAUUUUCCUCCCAAUAGUCAUAGUAACAGUCUCCCUUGUGCACUGUAUACUCUCAAAGCUUUUAAAUAUUUGUGUUCAGCCGUCUCUAGAAUGUCAAGUGAUCUCUCUUCAACUGGAAUGACAAAAGCUGAAAGAACUGCAACCGUGAGGGCACCAUAACCCAUAGAUUACAUUCUGGUGUGUUAAGAUCAGAUAUCUAAGCCUGUUAAAAAAGAGAGAGAGAGAGAGAGAAAUAAAAAAAUUGGCCGGGCGCAGUGGCUCACGCCUAUAAUCCCAGCACUUUCGGAGGCCGAGGCAGGUGGAUCACGAGGUCAAGAGAUUGAGACCAUCCUGGUCAAAAAGGUGAAACCCCGUCUCUACUAAAAAUACAAAAAUUAGCUGGGCAUGGUGAGGGCGCCUGCCUGUAGUCCCGGCUACUUGGGAGGCUGAGGCAGGAGAAUUGCUUGAACCCAGGAGGCGGAGGUUGAGGUGAGCCGAGAUCGUGCCAUUGCACUCCAGUCUCCGUAACAACAGCGAAACUCCAUCUAAAAAAAAUAAAAAUUAAAAAAUUACAUUCUGAAACCAGAAAUCCAAAAUGAUGGUGUCUGAGAGGGGUGUGAAGGCUCUAAGCUCUGGUCACAGUGAGAACCCAGAGAAAACGGGAAUUUUUAAACAGCAUUGUGAGGCUAUUGUUUUUCACUGAGCUCAUGCACUAGGCCCCAGCAAACCAAGCCAAACCAAAAUGGAGUCACUCGUGCUAAAUGAGAGAUAAUGGAACUAAGACUUUAAGGAAACACGUGGACCCUAGACCAGAACAGACCAGUUGUUUUUCUCCUGUAAACAGGAUGUUCCAGCAUAAGGUGGUGCCCUCUACUCAGGCCUUGUUCCUUCCUUUGCAAAACUCACGAUUCCACUGUUUCCCAGUGGGUUUCAAGACCAAACAGGUACAUUUAUGAUGCUUGAAUAGUAAUGUCAGUAACUAAAGUUUAAUGACCAAAAGGGGGCAAUUGUUAGGACUCCAUACUCCUGUAUUUGAGUCCUCGUGAAUGAACUGCUGCCUAACUUCAUAGCUACACAAGAUUGAAAACCUAACCUAGGAGUAUGCCGAGUCUUGGCUAACAGUCUUGGCCACUGAGUGCUCCAUAUGUGUUCAAGCUGUAACCAACCCAGCCAUUUCCGCAUCUCAUUUCCGAUUUCUAUAUAUCACUUUACCUUUUUUGUCUAUGCAUUUGUUCCGACCACGAGGCUCUCCCUGGAGUUUCUCUGAAGCUGCUGUGAUUUUGGGGACUAGCCAUUUGUGAAUCACUCAUUGCUUAAACUCCUUUAAAAAUUCAGCUGAAGUUUUUCUUUUAAUGCCUGUCUCUACACGGUGGCUACCAUGGCUCCUGCCUGUAAUCUCAGCAGUUUGGGAGGCCAAGGCCGGAGGUUUGCUACAGCCCAGGAGUUUAAGACCAGGUUGGGGCGACAUGGCAAGACCCCAUCUCUACAAAUAAAAAAAAUAAAAAUUAACCAGGCGUGGCUCACACCUGUAAUCCCAACACCUUGGGAGGCUGAGGCAGGCAGAUCACUUGAGGUCAGGAGUUUGAAACCAGCUUGGCCCACAUGGUGAAACACUGUCUUUAGUAAAAAUAUAAAAAUUACCCCAGCUGUGGGGUCUGCGCUUGUAAUCCUAGCUACAAGCUAGGACUGGAGGCUGGAGUGCAGUGGCAGGAUCUCAGCUCACUGCAAUGUCUGCCCACCAGGUUCAAGUGAUUCUCCUGCCUCAGCCUCCCAAGUAGUUGGAAUCAUAGGCGCAUGCCACCUCAGUGGCUAAUUUUUUGUUUGUUUUUUAGUAGAGACAGGGUGUCACCAUGUUGGCCAGGCUGGUCUGGGACUCCUGACCUCAGGUGAUCCACCCGCCUCAACCUCCCAGAGUUCUGGGAUUACAGGUGUGAACCACCAUGCCUGGCCUUCCUGCUGUCUUCAGAGUACCUGCAGCCACCACCAGGGGCUGAGGGCAGUGGUCAGGGACAGGCCUCAUUGUGGUUACCACUGAGGAGACCCUGUCAAUCUCUGUAGUUGUAGAUCAAGCAAUACUACGGCAGAAAUUGCAGGAGCAGAUUCUGCACCAUCUCAGAUCCAAAGAAGCUUCCCUUGCAAGUUGGUAACCUCUUGAGGGCUUCAGUAUCACGUGGAGUUGGUCUGGGUGAUGCCUGGCAUUCCAGGUGUAACAACUUGGGGAACAGUUCCAGGAUGGAGGUGAUGUUUCUGGACUGGUAUGGGAAGGUAGUGCACAGGACGUUUCUGUGUGUACACGUCUCUCCUGGCUCCAGCCCUUCCCUUGUCCAUCUGUCCUACAGAUCUCACCUUAGGCAUGUCAUCCUUGAGGACCUGCAGAAAGGCAGCCAUGUACUUUCCUAGGAUUUGAUGGCAUUUUAGGAUCACGGGUCACUGGGUCUGGCUCAGAGGCGAGUCCCUGGCUGUCAAGACUAUAUUGGGGGCUGGGCGCGGUGGCUCACGCCUAUAAUCCCAGCACUUUGGGAGGCCGAGGCAGGCGGAUCACAAGGUCAAGAGAUCGAGACCAUCUUGGCCAACAUGGUGAAACCCUGUCUGUACUAAAAAAUAUAAAAAUUAGCUGGGCAUGGUGGUGCAUGCCUGUAAUUCCAGCUACUCGGGAGGCUGAGGCAGGAGAAUUGCUUGAACCAUAGAGUCAGAGGUUGCAGUGAGCCGAGAUCACACCACUGCCCUCUAGCCUGGUGCCUGGCAACACAGUGAGACUCUCCCUUUUUAAAAAAAGUCUAUAUUGGGAGGCAUCACAGCUCUAUCUGCUUUGCCUUUUCUGACUCCAGCUCCCUCUGCAUAGAACUGGGCAUAGCAGCAGGGUUGACAAACAUUGGUAUCUCUUCGUUACCCCCAUCUUGCCGCCGACAUGCCUCAGUGCUUCCGCGACGCUGCCAUUCUCCAAAGACACGGGCCUGCGUUUUCUUAUAGUGAAACUGAAUCAGGAGGAAGGGGCAUUGCAUUGACUCUGAAUCAAAUUCAGCAGCCACUUAGGUUAUUUUACGCAGUUCUUGAACCAGCAGCUCCUUAAGGUCCUAUCUGGCCGGUUUCCCUCUGUUCUCUCUGGAGGUUUUGGUUCUCUCUCUGUGUUAACAGGGGUUCCGUCUUGUUUAUAGAAUGUGUCUCUCCAUGGUUGGGCGCGGUGGCUCGUGCCCAUAAUCUCAGCAGUUUGGGAAGCUGAGGUCAGGAAUUCCAGACUAGCCUGGCCAACACUGUGAAACCCUGUCUCUUCUAAAAGUACAAAAAAAGUAGCCAGACGUGGUGGGUACCUGUAAUCCCAGCUACUUGGGAGGCUGAGGGAGGAGAAUUGCUUGAACCUGGGAGGUAGAGGUUGCAGUGAGCCAUGAUCAUGCACUCAAGCCUGGUGACAGAGCGAGACUCUGUCUCAAAAACGCGGAAAAGAACUGAGGCUAAGAAGGGUAAAGCCAGGCUGGGCACAGUGGCUCAUGCCUAUAAUCACAGCGCUGUGGGAGGCCCAGGCGGGUGGAUCACCUGAGGUCAAGAGUUAGAGACCAGCUUGGCCAACAUGGUGAAAACCCAUCUCUACUAAAAAUACAAAAAUUAGCCAGGUGUGGUGGCAGAUGCCUGUAGUCCCAGCUACUCAGGAGGCUGAGGCAGAAGAAUCUCUUGAACCCACGAGUUGAGGUUGCAGUGAGCCAGGAUGGUACAAUUGCACUCCAGCCUGGGCGACAGAGACUCUGACUCAAUUUAAAAAAAAAAAAAAAAAAAGCAAGAUAAAGCCACUUCUUUACAGCCCCAGUUCAAAUCCAGGCUAUCUCACUUCCCAGUUAAGGAAGGGGUCUUUUCUUUUCGAGACAAGGUCUCCCUUUGUUGCCCAGGCUGGAGCACAGAUGCGAUCACCGCUCACUGCAACCUCUGCCUCCUGGCCUCAAGCAAUCCUCCUGCCUCGGCCUCCCAAGUAGCUGAUUUUUUUUUUUUUUUCUGUUUUUAACUUUUUUUCUUGUCAAAGGACUGAAUGCAGGAAAGGGUUCUUUCUGGUUUGGAACAGCGUGUGUGUGUUUUGUGUUUGUUUUCAAUAUUCAUGAAAGGGAAUGGAGUGAGCAUAAGUGCUGGAGAAACUGAACUGUCCGAAUCUAGCUGACUGACCCCUCCGUCGGUUUGCAGGGCCUUGAAUGCCAAGCUGAGGAGCUGGGACUUUAUCAUGAGGGCAGUAUGGACCCAUGGGAGGGUCUGGGCAGAGAAAGGGCAGGGUCAGCUCUGAGUGCUGGAGAGCUCUCUCUAGGGUGAUGUGGAAGAUGCCACGGAGGGCACGGGGGUGGACACCGGGAGGUCAGGGGCCUGCAGUCAUGGUCUAGACCUCAGCCAUCCAACACGGUAGCCACAAGCCACAUGUGGCUAGUGAGAGUUGAAACGUGGCUGGUCUGAAGUGAGGUGUGCCUUAAGUGUCAAAUGCGGAUCCGAUUUUGAACACCUAACUUCCAAAAAAAAGUAUGUGAUGCAAUUAAUACUUUUUUCAGGCUGGGGGAGUUGGGUCACGCCUGGAGGAUCACAUGAGGCCGGAAGUUUGAGGUUGCAGUGAGCUAUGACCACGCCACUGCACUCCAGCCUGGGUGGCAGA